Oryctolagus cuniculus (rabbit) is the source of this 51-nucleotide small nucleolar RNA. Lineage: Eukaryota; Metazoa; Chordata; Mammalia; Lagomorpha; Leporidae. The record is from Ensembl.
CGGGUGAUGAAGGCCUGGCGCGGACCCCCCCCCCCCGCUCUGCCCCUGAAG